AAUCUGACUUGCUUAUUGCACCACAUGUGUUUUUCUUUGAAACAAACUUGCUUUGGCGGUGGGCCCAGCCUGCCGCCAGAGGUCUAAACUUACAACCAAUUUUUUAUCAACUUGUCACACCAGAUUAUUACUUAAUAGUCAAAACUUUCAACAACGGAUCUCUUGGUUCUCGCAUCGAUGAAGAACGCAGCGAAAUGCGAUACGUAAUAUGAAUUGCAGAUAUUCGUGAAUCAUCGAAUCUUUGAACGCACAUUGCGCCCUCUGGUAUUCCGGAGGGCAUGCCUGUUUGAGCGUCGUUUCUCCCUCAAACCGCUGGGUUUGGUGUUGAGCAAUACGACUUGGGUUUGCUUGAAAGACGGUAGUGGUAAGGCGGGAUCGCUUUGACAAUGGCUUAGGUCUAACCAAAAACAUUGCUUGCGGCGGUAACGUCUACCACGUAUAUCUUCAAACUUUGACCUCAAAUCAGGUAGGACUACCCGCUGAACUUAAGCAUAUCAAAAGCCGGGAGGAA
This 511-nucleotide ribosomal RNA is filed under the name Candida albicans. RNAcentral's name for it is "eukaryotic LSU rRNA". The stretch from base 143 to 296 matches the Rfam family "5.8S ribosomal RNA". The record is from RNAcentral. Lineage: Eukaryota; Fungi; Ascomycota; Pichiomycetes; Serinales; Debaryomycetaceae.